AGAGUUUGAUCAUGGCUCAGAUUGAACGCUGGCGGUAUGCCUUACACAUGCAAGUCGAACGGUAGGGGGAGCAAUCCCCUGAGAGUGGCGAACGGGUGAGUAAUACAUCGGAACGUGCCCAGUCGUGGGGGAUAACGUAGCGAAAGCUACGCUAAUACCGCAUACGACCUGAGGGUGAAAGCGGGGGACCGUAAGGCCUCGCGCGAUUGGAGCGGCCGAUGGCAGAUUAGGUAGUUGGUGGGGUAAAGGCCCACCAAGCCUGCGAUCUGUAGCUGGUCUGAGAGGACGACCAGCCACACUGGGACUGAGACACGCCC
RNAcentral lists this ribosomal RNA (317 nucleotides) under Sphaerotilus natans. RNAcentral's name for it is "bacterial SSU rRNA". It matches the Rfam family "Bacterial small subunit ribosomal RNA", at positions 8 to 331 of the family's 1533-position model. The record is from RNAcentral. Lineage: Bacteria; Pseudomonadati; Pseudomonadota; Betaproteobacteria; Burkholderiales; Sphaerotilaceae.